Molecule: ribosomal RNA, 446 nt
Filed under: uncultured eukaryote
Lineage: Eukaryota
Description: bacterial SSU rRNA
Rfam family: Eukaryotic small subunit ribosomal RNA
Source: RNAcentral
UCAGGACGUACGGUAAGGAUUGACGGAUGAAGGUCUCUUUCUCGAUUCCGUGGAAAGUGGUGCAUGGCGUUUUUGGUUGGUGGAUCGAUCCGUCUGGUUAAUCCGUUAACGAACGAGACCUCGGCACUCCGAAUAGCGCGGCGGACGUCGCGGCCUCCGGGCCGUCUUCCGCACGAGCUCUUAGAGGGACCGUCCCCCCGCCGGGGAAGGAGGUGCGAGGCAACGACAGGUCUGUGAUGCCCUUAGAUGUUCUGGGCCGCACGCGCAUUACACUGACGCGUCCAACGGGUGACUCCCGACCCCGAAGGGGCCGGGGAAUCCGCAAGGCGCGUCGUGAUGGGGAUUGAACGUUGCAAUUGUUGUUCACGAACGAGGAAUUCCUAGUAGGCGCGGGUCAUCAACCCCGCGCCGAUUACGUCCCUGCCCUUUGUACACACCGCCCCGUC